RNAcentral lists this ribosomal RNA (464 nucleotides) under uncultured bacterium. Its description in RNAcentral is "partial 16S ribosomal RNA". It matches the Rfam family "Bacterial small subunit ribosomal RNA", at positions 28 to 506 of the family's 1533-position model. The record is from RNAcentral.
GACGAACGCUGGCGGCGUGCUUAACACAUGCAAGUCGUACGGUAAGGCCCUUUCGGGGGUACACGAGUGGCGAACGGGUGAGUAACACGUGAGUAACCUGCCCACAACUUUGGGAUAACGCUAGGAAACUGGUGCUAAUACUGGAUAUGUGCUCCUGCUGCAUGGUGGGGGUUGGAAAGCUCCGGCGGUUGUGGAUGGACUCGCGGCCUAUCAGCUUGUUGGUGGGGUAGUGGCCUACCAAGGCGGCGACGGGUAGCCGGCCUGAGAGGGUGACCGGCCACAUUGGGACUGAGAUACGGCCCAGACUCCUACGGGAGGCAGCAGUGGGGAAUAUUGCACAAUGGGCGCAAGCCUGAUGCAGCAACGCCGCGUGCGGGAUGACGGCCUUCGGGUUGUAAACCGCUUUCAGCAGGGACGAAGCUUUUUGGGACGGUACCUGCAGAAGAAGCACCGGCUAACUACGU